Molecule: ribosomal RNA, 1549 nt
Filed under: Zschokkella bicarinatis
Lineage: Eukaryota; Metazoa; Cnidaria; Myxozoa; Bivalvulida; Myxidiidae
Description: SSU rRNA
Rfam family: Eukaryotic small subunit ribosomal RNA
Source: RNAcentral
UUCCGGAGAGGGAGCCUGAGAAACGGCUACCACAUCCAAGGACGGCAGCAGGCGCGCAAAUUACCCAAUCCAGACACUGGGAGGUGGUGACGAGAAAUACCAGGUCGGUCCCAAAAGGAUUCGACACUGGAAUGAGUUUAAUUUAAAAAUUUAAACGAGAAACAACUGGAGGGCAAGUCUGGUGCCAGCAGCCGCGGUAAUUCCAGCUCCAGUAGUGUAUCCAAACGUUGCUGCGGUUAAAACGCUCGUAGUUGGACAAGAGAGUAACUUGGUGCGGGCGGGGAGUGUGAAGCUCUAUGUGUUUGCCUGUUGUGGUUGGUGUUGCUUGUAUUGUGUAAAAGCUCUAUGAGUGCACUGGCGCUUCAGGAUGUAGCAUAGUAGUGCACUUGUCGACCAUGCUGCCAGGUUGCUUGUAAUGUUUCGUGAGAAUGGUGCAUGGUCUUUAUUGUAUUGUGUACUGUGUCUUACGUAGUGUGCCUUGAAUAAAUCAGAGUGCUCAAAGCAAGCUAUCGCUUGAAUGUUAAUAGCAUGGAACGAAUGUGUUGUGAGAGUGUGCUAGUGACUGUGUACUUGGUGCGUGGUCCUAGUGCAUAGCACCAACCGCGAAGCGGAACAUUGGUUGCCGACUUCGGGUGAGGAUUAAGAGGGGCAUUUGGGGGCAUUAGUAUUUGGCCGCGAGAGGUGAAAUUCUUGGACCGGCCAAGGACUAACAAGUGCGAAAGCAUUUGCCAAGUAUGUUCCCUUUAAUCAAGAACGAAAGUGAGAGGUUCGAAGACGAUCAGAUACCGUCCUAGUUCUCACCGUAAACGAUGCCAACCCGGGAUCAGUGCGGAUGAGAUGAUUUGGAUCCAGGUUGGUCCCCCUGGGAAACCUUGAGUGUUUAGGUUCCGGGGGGAGUAUGGUUGCAAGGCUGAAACUUAAAGGGAAUUGACGGAAGGGCACCACCAGGGGGUGGAGCCUGCGGCUCAAUUUGACUCAACACGGGAAAACUCACCUGGUCCGGACAUCGAUAGGAUUGACAGACUAAUAGAUCUUUCAUGAUACGGUGGGUGGUGGUGCAUGGCCGUUCUUAGUUCGUGGAGCGAUCUGUCAGGUUCAUUCCGGUAACGGACGAGACUACGAUCCCCAUUUGGGGAAGUGCAGGACAGGUGGGAAGGGGGCCCCCGGUCGGCAACGGCAGGACGGCAACCGUGCGCCUGUUCCUGGGCUGCGCGCACAGCAAUGUGCGUCCCCAUGGAGAGACAGCCGGAUUGUAAGGCGGAGGAAGCGUGGCAAUAACAGGUCUGUGAUGCCCUUCGAUGUUCAGGGCCGCACGCGCGCUACAAUGAUAACGACAACGAGCGCCUGGACUGAAAAGUUCUGGGAAAUCUUUUGAAUCGUUAUCGUGAUGGGGAUUGAGCAUUGUAAUUCUUGCUCAUGAAAUAGGAAUCCCUUGUAUACGUGUCUCACUUAGGACACGUAGAAUGCGUCUCUGCCCUUUGUACACACCGCCCGUCGCUACUACCGAGUGAAUGGUGUCAUGAUGUCUUGGGACUGGACGUUGUUGGCA